Molecule: ribosomal RNA, 406 nt
Filed under: uncultured bacterium
Lineage: Bacteria
Description: partial 16S ribosomal RNA
Rfam family: Bacterial small subunit ribosomal RNA
Source: RNAcentral
AUUGAACGCUGGCGGCAGGCCUAACACAUGCAAGUCGAACGAGUGGCGGACGGGUGAGUCAUGUCUGGGACCCUGCCUGAUGGAGGGGGAUCACUACUGGAAACGGUAGCUAAUCCCGCAUACCAUCAGAUGUGCCCAGAUGGGAUUAGCUUGUUGGUGGGGUAACGGCUCACAAAGGCGACGACCCCUAGCUGGUCUGAGAGGAUGACCAGCCAAACUGGAACUGAGACACGGUCCAGACUCCUACGGGAGGCAGCAGUGGGGAAUAUUGCACAAUGGGCGCAAGCCUGAUGCAGAAAGGCCGCGUGUAUGAAGAAGGCCUUCGGGUUGUAAAGUACUUUCAGCGGGGAGGCGUUACCCGCAGAAGAAGCACCGGCUAACUCCGUGCCAGCAGCCGCGGUAAUUC